Molecule: long non-coding RNA, 2746 nt
Organism: Callithrix jacchus (white-tufted-ear marmoset)
Lineage: Eukaryota; Metazoa; Chordata; Mammalia; Primates; Cebidae
Source: RefSeq, a predicted model, not a curated record
UCCCGCCUACCAAUGGCAGCUAGUUUCAUGUACUUCCUGCUUUAACUCCAUGUACUUCCUGCUCCUCAACAGCCAAUAGAAAUGCCUUCUCUUUGUUUCCCUAGUAGUCAGUCAAGGCCCGCAUACCCAAGGUCCUGCCUGCCUACCAAUGGCAGCUAGUUUUAGGUACUUCCUACUUUAAUUCUAUGUACUUCCUACUCCUCAACAGCCAAUAGAAUUGCCUUCUCUUUGUUUCCCCAGUAACCAGUCAAUUGCCUGCAAUCCCCAUAAACUCCAUGCCCUGAACAGCCAGGUGCGACUUCUCUGGCCCCCACUUGGGCCACUGAAGCUUGCCCAGGAGCUGAAUAAAUUGGCUUCUCACUUUUUUAUACUUGCCUCAGUUUCCUCAUUUUACCUUGGCAAUAAAUCUUACAUUUAUUGGUGCUGAAACCAGGGACGAGUUGUGAGACCUCCCCUCCUGGGGAGGGAAACUGACUCCUCCACUCGAGGCCGGACCAGGAGCUGCUCCACCACGAGGGCUGUCUGUUAUGAGGCACCGUAAGCCAAGAGAGCUCCUCUCUAGGAGAACCCUGACAGAGGGAAGGUUACGAUCAGCUGUGUCAGUCAGACACCAUUAUGCAGUGGAAGACUGAGCACUUUCCCCUGUGAUCCAGAAGUGCAUUUUGCCUCCUGCCAUCAUUCUGAAGCCUCCUCAGCCAUGUGGAACUGUAAGUCCUAUAGAACCUCUUUUUGUUUCUAGUUUGGGGUGUGUCUUUAUAGGCAGUUUGAAAAUGAACUAAUACAGUAAAUCGGUUCCAGUAGUGUAGGGCAUUGCUGAAAAGAUAUCUGAAAAUGACGAAGUGACUUUGGAACUGGGUAAUAGGCAGAUUGGAAUGGUUUGGAAGGCUCAGAAGAAGACAGGAAAAUGUGGGAAAGUUUAGAACCUCCUAAAGACUUGUUGAAAGAAUUUGUCAAAAAUGUUGAUAGUGAUAUGAACAAUAAAGUCCAGGCUAAGGUGGUCCCAGAUGGAGAUGAGGAACUUGUUGGUAACAGGAGCAACGGUAACUCUUGUUAUGUUUUAGCAAAGAGACUGGUGGCAUUUUGUCCCUGUCUUAGAAAUUCGUAGAACUUUGAACUUGAGAGAGAUGUUUUAGGGUAUCUGGUGGAAGAAAUUUCUAAACACCAAAGCAAUUCUAAGGAUGACUUGAGUGCUGUUAAAACAUUCCAUUUUAAAAGGGAAACAGCAUAAAAGUUCAGAAACUUUGUAGAAGCCUGAUGUAGUAGUAGAAAAAAAUAUACAUAUUUUUUUGAGGAGCCUGAUUAUUAUUAGGCAAGGAGCAUAAUGUCAAUGCCCAAGACCAUAGGGAAAAUGUCUCUAGGCCAUGUCAGAGACCUUUAUGGCAGCCCUUCCCAUCACAGGCCUGGAGGCCCAGGAGGAAAAAGUGGUUUCAUGAGUUGAACCCAGGGUCCCCAAGCUGUGUGCAGCUUAGGGACUUGGUGCCCUGUGUCCCACCUGCUCCAGCCAUGGCUGAAAGGGGCCAAUAUAGAGCUCAUGCUGUAGUUACAGAGGAGGAAUCCCCAAGCCUUGGAAGCUUCCACAUGGUGUGGAGCCUGCAGGUGCACAGAAGUUAAGAAUUGAGAUUGAGGGGCCGGAAACAGAAUGAUAUGCUUUGGUGGUGUCCCCACCCAAAUCUCAACUUGAAUUUUGUCUUCCAGAAUUCCCUUGUGUUGUAGAAGGGACCCAGGGGGGAGGUAAUUGAAUCAUGUGGGCUUAUUUUACCUGUGCUAUUCUCUUGAUAGUGAAUAAGUCUCACACGAUCUGAUCGGUUUAUCACGGGUUUCUGAGUUUGCUUGUUCCUUAUUUUUCUCUUGCUGAUGCCAUGUGAAAACUGUCUCUUGUCUCCCAUCAUGAUUGUGAGGUCUCCCCAGCCAUGUGAAACUGCAAGUCCAAUUAAACCUCUUUUCAUUCCCAGUUUCGGGUAUGUCUUUAUCAGUACCAUGAAAGCAAACUAAUAUAUCAUAUAAUCAUGUGUUUUUUUUUCACUCUAAUGAAGAAUACUUACAGUUUUUACUCACAUUCUGGAGUUUCUUUGUGGGCAUGCCACAGGUUCGCUCCCAAGAUUUCUUGGCUUUGAACAAUCUCUGACCAGUGAAUUGUUUUCAUUUAUCUUUAUUACCUAUAGUAUUAAAUAUUUCACUUAUGUCUCUUUAUCAUUUUUAUUUGUAGAUAGCAUAUUGUAUUUUAUUUCUCAAUAAUGACAGAUUUUGAAGGAGAAACUGACAUUCUAAGCAUACUGACUGACUGUGCUGCUACACUUGGUACAUAAUGAAGCACAGCUAGAUCUCAAUGGUGAGAUCUAGCAAGAUGUUGCUACUUUGGCUUCUACAAAAACUCUCUUUGGAAUGAUUUCACUGAAGGCUUUCUUUAUCUAAUCCAGUUUGAUACCACAUGUGUUAAACAUGCAAAAUUUUAUGAGGAAUAAUAAAAGACUAUUUUAGAAUUUUAUUUAUUUAUUUAUUUAUUUUUUGAGACAGAGUUUCGCUCUUGUUACCCAGGCUGGAGUCAAUGGCGUGAUCUUGGCUCACCGCAAUCUCUGCCUCCUGGGUUCGGGCAAUUCUCCUGCCUCAGCCUCCUGAGUAGCUGGGAUUACAGGCACACGCCACCAUGCCCAGCUAAUUUUUUGUAUUUUUAAUAGAGACGGGGUUUCACCAUGUUGACCAGGAUGGUUUCGAUCUGUUGACCUCGUGAUCCACCCGCCUCGGCCUC